This 675-nucleotide ribosomal RNA is filed under the name Arthrobacter sp. UAPS0103. RNAcentral describes it as "bacterial SSU rRNA". It matches the Rfam family "Bacterial small subunit ribosomal RNA", at positions 68 to 756 of the family's 1533-position model. Lineage: Bacteria; Bacillati; Actinomycetota; Actinomycetes; Micrococcales; Micrococcaceae. The record is from RNAcentral.
GAUGAACCGGUGCUUGCAUCGGGGAUUAGUGGCGAACGGGUGAGUAACACGUGAGUAACCUGCCCUUGACUCUGGGAUAAGCCUGGGAAACUGGGUCUAAUACCGGAUAUGACCUUCCAUCGCAUGGUGGUUGGUGGAAAGCUUUUGUGGUUUUGGAUGGACUCGCGGCCUAUCAGCUUGUUGGUGAGGUAAUGGCUUACCAAGGCGACGACGGGUAGCCGGCCUGAGAGGGUGACCGGCCACACUGGGACUGAGACACGGCCCAGACUCCUACGGGAGGCAGCAGUGGGGAAUAUUGCACAAUGGGCGCAAGCCUGAUGCAGCGACGCCGCGUGAGGGAUGACGGCCUUCGGGUUGUAAACCUCUUUCAGUAGGGAAGAAGCGAAAGUGACGGUACCUGCAGAAGAAGCGCCGGCUAACUACGUGCCAGCAGCCGCGGUAAUACGUAGGGCGCAAGCGUUAUCCGGAAUUAUUGGGCGUAAAGAGCUCGUAGGCGGUUUGUCGCGUCUGCCGUGAAAGUCCGGGGCUCAACUCCGGAUCUGCGGUGGGUACGGGCAGACUAGAGUGAUGUAGGGGAGACUGGAAUUCCUGGUGUAGCGGUGAAAUGCGCAGAUAUCAGGAGGAACACCGAUGGCGAAGGCAGGUCUCUGGGCAUUAACUGACGCUAGASKASRG